RNAcentral lists this ribosomal RNA (358 nucleotides) under uncultured bacterium. Its description in RNAcentral is "bacterial SSU rRNA". It matches the Rfam family "Bacterial small subunit ribosomal RNA", at positions 1 to 334 of the family's 1533-position model. The record is from RNAcentral.
ACAGAUCGUUCAGAGUUUGAUCCUGGCUCAGGACGAACGCUGGCGGCGCGCCCAACACAUGCAAGUCGAACGGAGAUACUACGACAGAAGCCUUCGGGUGGACGAUGUAGUAUUUUAGUGGCGGACGGGUGAGUAACACGUGAGCAACCUGCCUAUCAGAGGGGGAUAACGUUCUGAAAAGAACGCUAAUACCGCAUAACGUAUCCAGAGGGCAUCCAAAGGAUACCAAAGGAGCAAUCCGCUGAUAGAUGGGCUCGCGUCCGAUUAGGUAGUUGGUAGGGUAACGGCCUACCAAGCCGACGAUCGGUAGCCGGACUGAGAGGUUGAACGGCCACAUUGGGACUGAGACACGGCCCAG